CGCCCACAGACGACCCGAACCGCCAGCCGGGCGUUAGGAAGUCUAGUUCCGGCUGCGCCAUUGCUGUGCUUGAACCCGAGACUGCCACGUCCUGCGGGGACCAAGUGGUGGGCGAGGAGGCGUGGAGCGGCUUCAGGACUCAAGGAGAGGUUCCGAAGCAGCUAGGAACUUUUGCCUUUGCCUCACGAGGUCGAUCGGAAGACAACCCCCAUCCCCUGCUGUAGCCGGACAGUUGGAGGGUCCCGGGUGGGUGAGGUGUUUGGCUGAGAGAAACUCAGACCAAAAAGCAGCGGCAAGAAAGCAUUUGGGUUCCCACAAACCGCCCGAAGUCAAGGUAAGGGUCACACAACGACCCUUGACGAUUCCGACGAGUUCAUCCUGGUUCACAUCCCACUCCACGCCUCUGUCUUCUGGUUGGGCAAUAGUUACAUCCUUACGUAAAGGAGGCAAGCUGCGGGGCCUUGGUGGAUCCACUCAACCUUAUUACCAAGGGACAUGCUGCCAUGCUAUGUGAAAAGGGGGGUUUUGUUGUUUGUUUUUAAUUUAAGUACCUAAUUCGUUUCACGAAAGAAUGAUCAAUACCUGCCCAGAGUAAACUUGAUAAGUAAUUAAACUGUCAGGGCAUAGAGUUCCCAUAGAGAUGCUUGUUCUUUCAAUACACAAAUAAAAGGAUGCAAAAGUCAA
Molecule: long non-coding RNA, 684 nt
Organism: Chlorocebus sabaeus (green monkey)
Lineage: Eukaryota; Metazoa; Chordata; Mammalia; Primates; Cercopithecidae
Source: RefSeq, a predicted model, not a curated record